RNAcentral lists this ribosomal RNA (407 nucleotides) under uncultured bacterium. Its description in RNAcentral is "partial 16S ribosomal RNA". It matches the Rfam family "Bacterial small subunit ribosomal RNA", at positions 30 to 526 of the family's 1533-position model. The record is from RNAcentral.
AUUGAACGCUGGCGGCAGGCCUAACACAUGCAAGUCGAGCGGAGCGGCGGUCGCGUGCGUAAUGCCUAGGAAUCUGCCUGGUAGCGGGGGAUAACGUCCGGAAACGGACGCUAAUACCACAUACUAUCACAUGCGCAUAGGUCGGAUUGGCUAGUUGGUGGGGUAAGGGCCUACCAGGGCGACGAUCCGUAACUGGUCUGAGUGGAUGAUCAGUCACACUGGAACUGAGACACGGUCCAGACUCCUACGGGAGGCAGCAGUGGGGAAUAUUGGACAAUGGGUGCAAGCCUGAUCCAGCCAUGCCGCGUGUGUGAAGAAGGUCUUCGGAUUGUAAAGCACUUUAAGUUGGGAGGCGUUACCAACAGAAUAAGCACCGGCUAACUUCGUGCCAGCAGCCGCGGUAAUUC